ACUUUCCUCAUCCACAUCAUUUUGCAACAUUUCCUUCCUUUGCUAAUUGUCAUCAUCUAAUCAGUUAACCAAGUUCAUUGAUAAUAUGUAUCUCUAGGACAACACAAAUUUCUUUGAGCAGCAACAAAAACAAAAUAUUUCAAAACUUAAACCACUCAUUGCGAAUUUCUAGUCCUCUUGGCUGUGAACAGUUGGCGAAGGAAAGCAAACUUUCCUCUUGCACGAGCAGAAAACUCAGCCAUGGUGCCACUGCUUGAUGCCGCUGUCUCAUGGGUAUCAGAUUCUGGGACAGAUGUUGAUGGUGCAGAAAGAGUGAAAAGGAAUGCAUUGAGCAUACGGAUGAUCUGACUGAAACUGGGCCUCAAAUUAGGGUCUUCGACCCAACAUGACUGAAUGAUAAAUGCAAGAUCAGGGGAUAUGUCUUCCGGAAGACUAGGCCUCUCUUGCUUAAAAGCAGCUGCGUAAGCAGCCUGCAAAUUUGACAUGCCUUCAAAUGGCAUGCGGUUGGUCAGCAACUCCCAUAAGACGAUUCCAAAACUGUAGACAUCAACCUUGUUAUUGUAAUGCUUCUUCUCACCCUGCCGCAACGUCACAGUACUAUACAACUCAGGAGCCAUCCAACGGUAAGUCCCAGUUUCAGCAGUCAUCAUUUCAGUGACAGAUUCUUCUCUUGCAAGACCAAAAUCUGCAAGCUUCACAGACUUCUGAUUCGUGGUAAGCAACAAAUUAUCUGGUUUGAGAUCUCUGUGUAUAAUCCCAUUUGCAUGCAGACAGUCCAUGGCUCGAGCAAUGUCAAGGGCAAAAUUUAAAGCUACACGAAGCUCUAAUAGUUUUGGACGAAUGCUAAUCAAAUACUUGCGGAGUGACAUCCCAGGUAAUAGCUCAGUUACUAUCACCAUCAGUGGAUCUUUACAAGCUCCAAUAAACUUGACAAGAUUUUCAUGUUUUACUCGAGACAUCAUGUUAACUUCACGGGCAAAACGAUUUUCCAGGGCAGCUCUUUCUUCUGAAGUGGUCCCUCGAUUAAGCACUUUGACGGCAACAAUUCGAUCACCAUACCUU
This 1062-nucleotide unclassified non-coding RNA is filed under the name Hevea brasiliensis (rubber tree). The record is from RNAcentral. Lineage: Eukaryota; Viridiplantae; Streptophyta; Magnoliopsida; Malpighiales; Euphorbiaceae.